AUUUGACCUCAAAUCAGGUAGGACUACCCGCUGAACUUAAGCAUAUCAAUAAGCGGAGGAAAAGAAACUAACAAGGAUUCCCCUAGUAACUGCGAGUGAAGCGGGAAAAGCUCAAAUUUAAAAUCUGGCGGUCUUGCGGCC
Molecule: ribosomal RNA, 141 nt
Filed under: uncultured Piloderma
Lineage: Eukaryota; Fungi; Basidiomycota; Agaricomycetes; Atheliales; Atheliaceae
Description: partial 28S ribosomal RNA
Rfam family: Eukaryotic large subunit ribosomal RNA
Source: RNAcentral